This 496-nucleotide ribosomal RNA is filed under the name uncultured bacterium. RNAcentral describes it as "partial 16S ribosomal RNA". It matches the Rfam family "Bacterial small subunit ribosomal RNA", at positions 29 to 507 of the family's 1533-position model. The record is from RNAcentral.
AUGAACGCUGGCGGCGUGCCUAAUACAUGCCAGUCGAGCGAACAGACGAGGAGCUUGCUCCUCUGACGUUAGCGGCGGCCGGGUGAGUAACACGUGGAUAACCUACCUAUAAGACUGGGAUAACUUCGGGAAACCGGAGCUAAUACCGGAUAAUAUAUUGAACCGCAUGGUUCAAUAGUGAAAGACGGUUUUGCUGUCACUUAUAGAUGGAUCCGCGCCGCAUUAGCUAGUUGGUAAGGUAACGGCUUACCAAGGCAACGAUGCGUAGCCGACCUGAGAGGGUGAUCGGCCACACUGGAACUGAGACACGGUCCAGACUCCUACGGGAGGCAGCAGUAGGGAAUCUUCCGCAAUGGGCGAAAGCCUGACGGAGCAACGCCGCGUGAGUGAUGAAGGUCUUCGGAUCGUAAAGCUCUGUUAUUAGGGAAGAACAAAUGUGUAAGUAACUAUGCACGUCUUGACGGUACCUAAUCAGAAAGCCACGGCUAACUACGUG